RNAcentral lists this ribosomal RNA (253 nucleotides) under uncultured bacterium. Its description in RNAcentral is "partial 16S ribosomal RNA". It matches the Rfam family "Bacterial small subunit ribosomal RNA", at positions 524 to 776 of the family's 1533-position model. The record is from RNAcentral.
UACGGAGGGUGGAAGCGUUAAUCGGAAUUACUGGGCGUAAAGCGCAUGCAGGCGGCUUGUUAAGUCGGAUGUGAAAGCCCCGGGCUCAACCUGGGAAUUGCAUUCGAUACUGGCAAGCUAGAGUAUGUGAGAGGGGGGUAGAAUUCCAAGUGUAGCGGUGAAAUGCGUAGAGAUUUGGAGGAAUACCAGUGGCGAAGGUGGCCCCCUGGCACACUACUGACGCUCAGGUGCGAAAGCGUGGGAAGCAAACAGG